This 333-nucleotide ribosomal RNA is filed under the name uncultured bacterium. Its description in RNAcentral is "bacterial SSU rRNA". It matches the Rfam family "Bacterial small subunit ribosomal RNA", at positions 30 to 368 of the family's 1533-position model. The record is from RNAcentral.
AUUGAACGCUGGCGGAAUGCUUUACACAUGCAAGUCGAACGGUAGAGGGGGCAACCCCUUGAGAGUGGCGAACGGGUGAGUAAUAUAUCGGAACGUGCCCAGUCGUGGGGAUAACGUAGCGAAAGUUACGCUAAUAACCGCAUACGAUCUAAGGAUGAAAGCGGGGGAUCGCAAGACCUCGCGCGAUUGGAGCGGCCGAUAUCAGAUUAGGUAGUUGGUGAGGUAAAGGCUCACCAAGCCAACGAUCNGUAGCUGGUCUGAGAGGACGACCAGCCACACUGGAACUGAGACACGGUCCAGACUCCUACGGGAGGCAGCAGUGGGAAUUUUGGA